This 253-nucleotide ribosomal RNA is filed under the name uncultured bacterium. Its description in RNAcentral is "partial 16S ribosomal RNA". It matches the Rfam family "Bacterial small subunit ribosomal RNA", at positions 524 to 776 of the family's 1533-position model. The record is from RNAcentral.
GACGUAGGGGGCCAGCGUUGUUCGGAAUUACUGGGUGUAAAGGGUUCGUAGGCGGUGUGGCAAGUCGGGAGUGAAAUCUCUGGGCUCAACCCAGAGUCUGCUUCCGAAACUGCUGUGCUUGAGUGUGGGAGAGGCGCGUGGAAUUGCAGGUGUAGCGGUGAAAUGCGUAGAUAUCUGCAGGAACACCGGUGGCGAAGGCGGCAUCCUGGACCGGUAUUGACGCUGAGGCGCGAAAGCUAGGGGAGCAAACGGG